This 770-nucleotide ribosomal RNA is filed under the name Klebsiella oxytoca 10-5244. RNAcentral's name for it is "partial 23S ribosomal RNA". Lineage: Bacteria; Pseudomonadati; Pseudomonadota; Gammaproteobacteria; Enterobacterales; Enterobacteriaceae. The record is from RNAcentral.
UGACGCCAGAAAACAGGCUUGGGGCUCCAGGCUUUCGCGCAUAACGAGGAAAUGGCCGACAACUUCAGCGAAAUUAUCUUCCGUUAACCACCAUGCGAGUAGUUCUUUAUCGAGAAAGUUCCAGCUGCUGCGGGGCAUCACCCGCGUUCCGAUCCGUGGACGAGGUAAAAGCAUCCCUUUCGCAGCAAGCGUUUUAACCGCUUCACGCACGGCCGUACGGCUCACGCCAAACUGCUCACCCAGUUCCAUCUCUCCGGGAAGGAUACUUUCUGGCGGGUAUUCCCCGGUCAGGAUUUUUUGAGCUAGUUUCUCCGCUAAUACCCAGGAGAUGUUCUUUUGUGCCGCCAACUGCUGUGCGCUUAAAGACAUAAAUGCCGUUCCUUUCUCUUUUUUACCUUAUCAGUAUGCCAUCUGGCGGCGUGCUUCGUUGGUUAAAACGGCAAAACGCCGCUUUUUUGCUACAUUACACGGCGUAAUGAUGAAAAAAGAGGCGGUUGAAAAGUUUUUUGAAAUUUCCCCUUGUCACUUCGUAAUUACUCCCUAUAAUGCGCUCCCACUGACACGGAACAACGGCUUACAGCCCGCCGGGUCAGCGGGAUUCAGCGAUGAAUGCCGGCAGAGAAAAGCGAAAUUAAACGCUUGACUCUGAAUGAGGAAAGCGUAUUAUACGCCACCUCGCAACGGUGAGUGAAAGCCGCGUUGCACUGCUCUUUAACAAUUUAUCAGACAAUCUGUGUGGGCACUCAAAGUGACAUGGAUUCUUAACGUCU